Long non-coding RNA from Prionailurus viverrinus (fishing cat), 1806 nucleotides. RefSeq lists it as uncharacterized. The record is from RefSeq and is a predicted model, not a curated record. The transcript has 2 exons. NCBI's taxonomy places the organism in Eukaryota, Metazoa, Chordata, Mammalia, Carnivora, Felidae.
UAUCCUCGCCUUUCUGUCUGCCUGGGCAAAAUCCAGACCUGCUUAUGGGUCAAGAGAGCCAAGUUCGAGAAGCAGUCCUUGGAAAGGAAGCUGUUGGCAGCUGACUAAUUACCAGAGAGGAAAACAAAAAUUUGCAAUGUUGUUGCAAAGGAUGGGGUCCAGGGUCUUGCUGUGUGGGGGUGCAGAGGGGUGAGACCUCUGAGGAGCCUGUGAGGUCCAGAGGCUUCUCCAGAAUGAAUGCUCAGGGACUUCUGCACCUGGGUAAAUCAACCAAGCACUGUGUUGUUAACGUCAGCAAAGUUAUUCUUGUACCUUGUGCCUAUGUACUUACUUCAAUCUACAGAGAAAACGAGGGAUCCCAGUGCCUGAAGGAAAAAAUGGUUCUGUAAUCUAUGAAGUCAAAUCACAGUUGAUAGCAGAAAGUGACACGAAACGGGAACUAGGAGAAAUUAAGUUGCAAGGUAUAGAUUUUGUCCGACUAAAUUAGAGGUAAGCAAUACCCGCUUCUCUCUUAGGGCCCAUGCUCCAAAUAAAAACGGAUGCUUGUUGGGGUGUGUGGUUUCUUGUUGGCCGCACUCUCAUGUGUCAGGUACGGCGGGCCACAGGGUGAGCAUCAGGAUGGAAAUAAUAAUUAUUUUUUUACAGCAAUGUCUUCUCGAGCUUCAAAGAGAGAGGCCUCUCUCCUUGCGCAUGCAAAUAUCAAUUUGGGAACUGAGGAAGGUAAUUUUCACAUGCAAAUGCGUGUAAGUUGAAAUGAGCAGAGGCAAUGAACAGACUGUUAAAGAAACGCAGGCUUCCUUGUCUUCCGGUACAAAGGAGCAAAGGGCUGAAGAGAAGAAGAAGCAGACUUCUUGAAGGAGGAGAGAAAAGACGGGCCAUCCACUGUGAAGUGAAAUAUGUGAGUGUGGAGUCCCAAAUGACGUCAGAACCUACUCGUCUGCCUCCUGGCCGCGUGGCCUCAUCACAGGGUGCUGUCGGGAUCCAUGGGAGUCCACUGUGAGGUCCCGAGGGGACCGCGGUGGACCACAAGCCACAAGCCCAAGGGAGAAGCAGCAGGUGCCACUGCAUUUUCUAAAACAUCACUUUCUAUGCUAAUCCCUCAUCCAAGCAUCUCUCGUAGGGCUCUCCCUUCCCAAGUCACACCAAGACUCUGGGGUCCACGGAUAACAGGGAGCUGUCUGCCACCAGAGUCUGAGAAUGCCUUCUGGCCCAGAACCUCUGCCAUUCCAAGCCAUCCUUGGAACACUGGAACUUUCCCAAGCUGCCAGAGCCCUGUGUGCCUAGAUGAACCUCAGUCACUCUUUCUUUUGGUUGCGCUGGUUUGCAGAACAAAAGGAGCUCUUCCGUCCUCCUCCCCUUCCACACGUAUACUGUUCUCCCCACCACCCACCAGCUUCGGCCAGGAAAUCCUUUUUUUACACUUUGAUGUGUCUGAUCAAGACAGUGCUAUUUCCGAAUCUCUCCUCGGGAUCCUUUGGGGGACAGAUGCCUGGAGGCCUCACAGGAAGACUGCCUUUGCCCUGUCCAGUUCCUCCCCGGGCACUGUGAGCAUAGGCUAGUUAUCUGCUGGAGCACCAGAGGGAUGGGAAAGGCAAGAAGAAAUUAAUUAACAUUCCACCAUAACCUGAUGCACCUUCGUAUGUGUGGAGAGUCAUUGCCCACGUAAUGAGGGUAACUGCUCUUGCUUAUUUGCCAUCCUUGAACAGGUAGUUAAAAGACUCCCCCUGACCCCUUCUUUCUUUCUUUUCUCAAAUAACAGUCAACUGUGUUAAGUCACACAUUAAAAUAAUAACAGAUUGAACAUGG